UUAGAUAUACCACCACGGUUCCUAUUGAUUUAGAGCCGGGUAAAAGUAAGUUUUUUUUUGUUACAAAGAGGAAAAUGGGUAAAAGUAAGUUUCUUCGGUAUAUUGGAAAGAUAAAUUGCAUUAUUCAGAAGAGUUUAAUUUUGAUGCACCGACGGUGUAAAGUUUUUUUACACCGUCAACCAAUCAGAUUUCAAGGAUGUGAGCAAAUCUCUCUUUUCAUUUAAUUUCAUUAAUUGACAUGGCAUAUCCUUGAAAUCUGAUUGGUUGACGGUGUAAAAAAACUUUACACCGUCGGUGCAUCAAACUUUUUCUCUAUUCAGAAAUUGAUCAUUAAUUGGACCUCCCACACCGAACUCAUAUGUCUCUAACUCUUACCACUUGAGCUAUCAUUCGAGGACGACAAAAGUAAGUUUGAUAUAAGUAACUUUGAUAGAAUAAAGAAAAAAAUGGAUAUUAUUUUAAUAGAAUAAAGUUAAUUUUUUUUUUGGAAAUAACCUCUUGUCUAAAAAACCAUACAAUACACAAAAUAGUGUUAGUAUGGGCAUGCAGGACCAUAUCUUUAAUAUAAAAACUUGACAAUAGUUUUUCAAUUGAGGAGUUUCUUGGUGUGUAUAUGAUUACUGUUGGAAUUAAUGACAUUUCAAAUCAUUUAUUUAAGAAUAAUAAGCCUUAUAUUUGACCUCACCGUUUGGAUUGGAAUAGUUGAAACUUUCAAAGGGUUUUAAACUAUUUUAAUAUCAUUAAGAGGAGAUAUACGUUGGUAUUCCUCUUGUCCAGCUUUGAUGCCUCUAACUCCACCUUUAUUUGUAUUUUGAUGGUGGUAUAACGGUUGCAUGGCAGAGGGUGAUGAGGCUAUUCUAUAAAGAAUAAGGUGCCGCUAGGACUAUGUAUGAGAUAGAAAAAUAAAAAUAAAGAACUACUUCUUCUUUUUGUAAAUUCUGAGCACUGUUGUUGUAGAGACUCCAGCAUGUGUAGGUUCUGAGUGUACAGUGCCUUACAUGCGGCUGUGUUAACCUUGAAGAGCAAACCCGGUAAUGGAUUGCACCGGAGAUCUGCCAGAAUUUUUGCUUUCAAGGCAGUGGUUCGUCCACGUCGCAACAAUCUUCCUAAUAUUUCCAACAAUUUGAAAGCAAAAAUUAUUUUACUCUUGUUAGUGUCGUUGGCGUGCUGCUUGAAAGAUAUGUAUUUCUUUGUCUCUUUCAUAAAAUGAUUCAAAUGCUAAGAAUGAGAAGAUGAAAAUGCGUUUUAACUAAUUAUGUUCAUCUCCUUUGCUUUUUGUGUGACUGCUUCGACGGGUGGAAUCCAUGAAAGAGUGGUUUGUGAUGCUUGUAGGGAUUCUUCUCUUGGACAUGAAAACCUUGUCUUUUAAGUGAAGGGUGAGAAAGCUUAAAGGAGAGGAACUUCCACCCUUUCACCUGCGCUUGCAUGAGACUGGUGGUUUUCAAAAUUUGGGUCAAAGCCCAGCUGGAGUUGGCAAUAACGAUGCUUGCAAUAGAGAGAAAUACAUGUCAUACAUGUUGCAAAGAAAUUGAUUAAGAAUUGUUUGAUUUUCCUUGAGCAUGUAAGAGGAUAAAAGAGUUUUGUUGAUCUUCUUGCUAAAGGAUUGACCAAGAAAGUUGUCUUGGAUACGUCGAGGGGGAUGAGGCUUAAGCCUUGAUAAAGAGGAAAAUAUGGUGGAGACCCAUUUGUUGGUCAAACUAAGCCGUAUAAUUACUCUUAUGCAUUACAUUCUCAUCCCUAUGGCGCGAGGUAAUGCUGUUUUUGAAAGAGAUACAUAGCCAUUUGUGGUGGUGCUAUUGAGACGCACUUGAUGUAUGUAUGAUAAAAUGCUUUUGAGACGCACUUGACUUACUUUCAAAUAAGAUUAAAAAAUGAAGUUUAUUCACAA
Lotus japonicus is the source of this 1888-nucleotide long non-coding RNA. RefSeq lists it as uncharacterized. Lineage: Eukaryota; Viridiplantae; Streptophyta; Magnoliopsida; Fabales; Fabaceae. The transcript has 2 exons. The record is from RefSeq and is a predicted model, not a curated record.